GAUGAACGCUAGCGGCAGGCUUAAUACAUGCAAGUCGAGGGGUAACAGGAGAGCUUGCUCUUGCUGACGACCGGCAUACGGGUGCGUAACGCGUAUGGAACCUACCUAUUACUGAGGGAUAGCCCGUGGAAACAUGGAUUAAUACCUCAUGGUACUAUCGAUUGGCAUCGAUUGAUAGUUAAAGAAUUUUGGUAAUAGAUGGCCAUGCGUAUCAUUAGCUAGUUGGUGAGGUAAUGGCUCACCAAGGCGACGAUGAUUAGGGGAACUGAGAGGUUGAUCCCCCACACUGGUACUGAGACACGGACCAGACUCCUACGGGAGGCAGCAGUAAGGAAUAUUGGUCAAUGGGGGCAACCCUGAACCAGCCAUGCCGCGUGCAGGAAGACGGCUUUCUGAGUUGUAAACUGCUUUUAUAUAAGAAGAAAAGGCUAUGCGUAGCUCUAUGACGGUAUUAUAUGAAUAAGGACCGGCUAACUCCG
This 479-nucleotide ribosomal RNA is filed under the name uncultured Bacteroidota bacterium. Its description in RNAcentral is "bacterial SSU rRNA". It matches the Rfam family "Bacterial small subunit ribosomal RNA", at positions 28 to 505 of the family's 1533-position model. Lineage: Bacteria; Pseudomonadati; Bacteroidota. The record is from RNAcentral.